AAGAGCUCAAAUUUAUAAUUUGGCACCUUCGGUGUCCGAGUUGUAAUCUCUAGAAAUGUUUUCCGCGUUGGGCCGCACCCAAGUCUGUUGGAAUACAGCGGCAUAGUGGUGAGACCCCCGUAUAUGGUGCGGACGCCCAGCGCUUUGUGAUACAUUUUCGAAGAGUCGAGUUGUUUGGGAAUGCAGCUCAAAUUGGGUGGUAAAUUCCAUUUAAAGCUAAAUAUUGGCGAGAGGCCGAUAGCG
Molecule: ribosomal RNA, 243 nt
Filed under: Rhodotorula sp.
Lineage: Eukaryota; Fungi; Basidiomycota; Microbotryomycetes; Sporidiobolales; Sporidiobolaceae
Description: partial large subunit ribosomal RNA
Rfam family: Eukaryotic large subunit ribosomal RNA
Source: RNAcentral